UUCCGGUUGAUCCUGCCGGACCUGACUGCUAUCGGAUUGAUACUAAGCCAUGCGAGUUUUUGUAGCAAUACAAGGCAGACGGCUCAGUAACACGUAGUCAAUCUAACCUAUGGACGAGGAUAACCUCGGGAAACUGAGAAUAAUACUCGAUAGAUCAUUAUGCCUGGAACGGUUUAUGGUUCAAAUGAAUUUCGCCAUAGGAUGGGACUGCGGUCUAUCAGCUUGUUGGUGAGGUAAUGGCCCACCAAGGCUAUUACAGAUACGGGCUCUGAGAGGAGAAGCCCGGAGAUGGGUACUGAGACACGGACCCAGGCCCUAUGGGGCGCAGCAGGCGAGAAAACUUUGCAAUGUGCGAAAGCACGACAAGGUUAAUCCGAGUGAUUCCUGCUAAAGGAAUCUUUUGUUAGUCAUAAUACCACUAAUGAAUAAGGGGUGGGCAAGUUCUGGUGUCAGCCGCCGCGGUAAAACCAGCACCUCAAGUGGUCAGGAUGAUUAUUGGGCCUAAAGCAUCCGUAGCCGGCUCUGUUAGUUUUCGGUUAAAUCUAUAUGCUCAACAUAUAGGCUGCCGGGAAUACUACAAAGCUAGGAAGUGGGAGAGGUAGACGGUACUCCGUAGGAAGGGGUAAAAUCCUUUGAUCUAUGGAUGACCACCAGUGGCGAAGGCGGUCUACCAGAACAUGUUCGACGGUGAGGGAUGAAAGCUGGGGGAGCAAACCGGAUUAGAUACCCGGGUAGUCCCAGCUGUAAACUAUGCAAACUCAGUGAUGCAUUGGCUUGUGGCCAGUGCAGUGCCGCAGAGAAGUCGUUAAGUUUGCCGCCUGGGAAGUACGUACGCAAGUAUGAAACUUAAAGGAAUUGGCGGGGGAGCACCACAAGGGGUGAAGCCUGCGGUUCAAUUGGAGUCAACGCCGGA
This 913-nucleotide ribosomal RNA is filed under the name uncultured archaeon. RNAcentral's name for it is "bacterial SSU rRNA". It matches the Rfam family "Archaeal small subunit ribosomal RNA", at positions 1 to 922 of the family's 1478-position model. The record is from RNAcentral.